RNAcentral lists this long non-coding RNA (10701 nucleotides) under Solanum tuberosum (potato). RNAcentral describes it as "long non-coding RNA (STUB_LNC005126)". The record is from RNAcentral. Lineage: Eukaryota; Viridiplantae; Streptophyta; Magnoliopsida; Solanales; Solanaceae.
UGUCAGUAACCCAAGUUCCAUAGGAAUAUUGCCAGAAAUUUGGUUGUUUGGCAAAAGAAGAUUAACCAGAGAGGUUAAUUUUCCUAAUUCCCUAGGUAUCUGUCCAACCAAAUGAUUGGAUGAAAGAUUAAGUCCUUGAAGCCCUUUGAGGUUUCCAAUCUCCGGUGGUAUGCUACCACUAAUGUUAUUUCUGGCAACCCGCAAAUCAGUCAAACUCUUGCAUUUCCCCCAGUUGCUGCUGAGUUCACCAUGAAAAUCAUUUUCGCUCAAAUUAAUGAAGUAAAGGUGUGGAUGGAUGCCAAAAGCUUCAGAUAAAUUCCCAGUAAAACUGUUGUUAUCCAACCGAACUCUUUUGAAACUCGAGCACUUGCUAAAGCUUCUUGGUAUUGGCCCUGUCAGCUUGUUACUAUUCACCGUGAAGUUCUCAAGUUUCCCACCUUGGCAAGAUUCUCAGGCAAAUGGCCUGAAACUGAUUUUCAUCCAUUUCCAUUAUAACCAAGUUAAUCCAAAUAUGCAAGUCUUUUGGAAUAGGAACCAGAAAGUUUGUUCUCACGGAGAUACAGAAAUUGCAAGUUUCUCAAAUUGCCAAAUGAACCAGGAAUUGGACCGGUAAGUCGAUUAGUGGAUAAUUGCAGAUCAUUCAAUUUUUUCAGAUUCCCCAACUCACUAGGAAUGGGACCAGAAAGUUGGUUGGAAUAAAGGUGCAAGAGUUUGAGCUCAGUUAAGUCACCUAUUGUUUUGGGAAUUGGACCAGAAAGAUUGUUUGUCUGGAAGCUUAAGUUCUCAAGUGACUUCAUUUUCCCAAUUUCAUCAGGAAUGGGACCAGACAAGUUAUUGGAAAAAGCAUAGAACACUUUUGCAUUGAUCCAAUUACCUAUUUCUGGAGGAAUAUGACCUGUUAAUUGGUUUCUACUAAUAUAAGCUUCAACAAGAUUGACAAGUUCUCCUAUUUCUGAAGGAAUGGAGCCAGAAAGCUUAUUAUUAUAAAGAUGCAAAAAAGACAAAUUGUUCAAAUUCCCCAAUGAAGCAGGAAUUGAACCACUAAGAAAGUUAGAACUCAAAGCUAGAUCAGUAAGAGACCUUAGGCGACCUAUUUCCCUCGGAAUGGAACCAUUUAAUUGGUUGCUAAAGAUGUGGAGGGUCUCAAGCUUUGUUAGUGAACUGAUUUGUGGUGGGAUUGUGCCCGAAAUCUGAUUGAUAGACAAGUCAAGAUAGACAAGAUUAGCGAGCUUACCAAUUUCAGGUGGGAUGGUGCCAGAGAGCUGGUUCAUACUAAGAUCAACAUAUUCAAGAAAAGGGAGUGAUGAAAAUGGAAAAUCAUACAGUGUGCCAAUGACACUAGCAUUUGUAAUAUUCAACCUGUUAACCCGACCAUUAACGCAUACAACUCCAUACCAGCCCCUGCAUGCAUCAGAACUCGUCGCUUCAAUUCUGGAAGAAUUCUUGGUACCAGCAGGACUACUUAGUGUCCAUGAAGCCUGUAAGGAAUUGUUCUGGUUUAGGAAUGUUGCUUUCCAUUUAAGAAGAGCAGUUGCUUCCUCAGUGGAAGCAAAAGUUAUAACUAUGAAAAGAUAUAAGAAGGGAAGGAUAUAAAAUAUUGUGGGAACCAUCAUCAAGGCUAAAUGAUUGAUUGUUUUUGGUUUUGUGAUGAAGUUGUUAUUGAAGACUGAUUUAAAGUCUGACUUGGUCAAGUUAAUUUGUUAGUAGUUUCCUAUUUUCUUGGGCUGUUAGCAGUCAUGUUGCAGCAGUUCUCUUUUUUCUAAUUUAGUGGUAGAUGUUGCUUAGUUAGUGGAGUAGUGGUUAACUUAGUGUUUGCUUAUGUUUAAGUCUAUAUAAUGUUGUAUCUUCCUUUGAUGAAUAACAGAUAAGUCAAGUUACAGCAAACUAUUUGAUCCUCUUAUUUUUAGCCUCUGCCUUUAAGUUGUUUACAGCCCUUUUCUCCAACAGACUCUACCUAUGGGAUUAUACCGAUAAAAGAAAGUGCAUGAUAAUAAUUGAAAAGGGAAAAUAUAGGGACGUGCAAAGAGAAGGGAAUCACGUACUAUAAUUAUUUUAUUUAUUAGUACGUAGAAAUGUGUCGUGGUGGUCGAGGCCGUGGUUAUGGAAGAGGCAGAGGGAGGAAUGAUGGGCACAAGCAGUCCAAUGAGCAAGGUAAUAGGAAAAAUGGUAUCCAGUGUCAUCACUGUCAGCGCUAUGGGCAUAUAAGGGCUGAUUGUUGGUAUAGAGAUCAGAAAAUAAAUUUUGCAGCAGGAGAAAAUGAGGAAGAGAAUUAUCUCUUUAUGGCUUGCGUUGAUACAGACCAUAAACCAAGCGAUUUAUGGUUUGUAGAUAGUGGUUGUUCAAACCAUAUGACAGGCGCCAAAUCCUUGUUCAAGGAGCUUGAUGAGAAGCAAAAGAAGACGGUACAACUUGGCAACACAAAAGAGAUGCGGGUUGAAGGAAAAGGCACUGUGAGUAUUGAUACAAGUCAUGAAAAAGUAAAAAUGCUAGAUAACGUCCAAUUUGUACCUGAUUUAGGAUACAAUUUGUUGAGUGUUGGACAACUAAUGAUUGAUGGUCAUUCUCUUUGGUUUGAUGACGAUGCUUGUGUCAUUACAAAUAAGAAGACAGGCAAAAAGGUUCGCAUCUCUAUGACACCAAACAAUAUGUUUCCGCUGGAUGUUUCCAAUAUGGAAAAUUUUGCCCUUGCUGCCAGUGCAAAGGAUGACUCAAAGUUGUGGCACUUGAGGUAUGGUCAUCUCAACAUAAACGGCUUGAAAUUGCUAGUUGACAAAGGUAUGGUUCUUGGACUACCAAAAAUUGAUUCUAUUGAUUUAUGUGAAGGGUGUAUUUAUGGAAAACAAACUAGAAAUUCUUUUCCUGUUGGAAAGGCUUGGAGGGCUUUAAAGUGUCUUGAACUUAUACAUGCUGAUUUAUGUGGACCUAUGCAUAUUACUUCUUUUGGUGGGAGUCGUUAUUUUCUACUCUUUACUGAUGAUUAUAGUCGCAUGAGUUGGGUCUAUUUUUUGGAAAACAAAUCAGAAACAUUUCAAAAAUUCAAGCAUUUUUAGUCCAAGGUUGAGAAACAAAGUGGUUUGUCCAUCAAAACCUUUCGCACUGAUAGAGGAGGUGAAUUCGUGUCCAAGGAAUUCAAUCUUUUUUGUGAAGAAAGUGGCAUUCACAGGGAACUAGCAACACCUUAUACUCCAGAACAAAAUGGUGUCGCUGAGCGGAAAAAUCGCACUGUUGUGGAGAUGGCGAGAAGCAUGUUACAGGCAAAGGGACUUCCGAAUCAUUUUUGGGCUGAAGCUGUGGCAACAUCAGUCCAUUUACUGAAUCUCUCUCCCACAAAGGCUGUUAUGAAUCAAACUCCAUUUGAAGCUUGGCGGGGUAGAAAACCAUCUGUAAGUUAUUUAAGAGUUUUUGGUUGUAUUGCUUAUGCUUUGGUAAAUUCCCAAUUUCGUCAUAAGUUGGAUGAAAAAUCUGAAAAGUGUAUUUUUAUUGGUUAUUGUACACAAUCCAAAGCGUAUAGACUCUAUAACCCCCUUAGCAGAAAGAUUUUAAUCAGAAGGGAUGUAGUAUUUGAUGAAAUGGCUAGCUGGAAUUGGAGUGGAAGCAAUGGUAAGAAGCAAGAACAGAUUCUUACGCCAACAGGAAUCACCUUUGAUGGAAUUCAACAGUCAACUCCUACAGCUACGGAAGUGAGUUCUUCUACAUCUUCCCCAGAUUCAUCCUCUUCAGCUUCAUCAAGCAGAAACUCUGCAUCUACAACUCCUGAACAGUCUCCAGAAGAGUCAGCUCCACUAAGAAGAUCAACAAGGAUUACAAAGCCGAAUUCCAAGUAUGCUAGUGACAUGUUUACGUCUUGUCAGUUUUCUUUUACUGUUUCAGAUCCAAUACAUUAUGAAGAAGCAGCUGAAAAGGAAGAGUGGAGGAAUGCGAUGCUAGAAGAGAUGAUUUCUAUCGAAAAGAAUGGCACAUGGGAGAUGGUGGAAUUACCGGAAAACAAAAAUGUAAUUGGCUUGAAGUGGAUCUUCAAGACAAAGUUUGCGGCAGAUGGCAGCCUACAGAAGCAUAAAGCUCGUCUCGUGGCAAAAGGAUAUGCACAGCAAUAUGGUAUUGAUUUUGAAGAAACAUUUUCUCCAGUUGCUCGGUUUGAAACUGUGAGACUUGUUCUAGCAUUGGCAGCACAGACACAAUGGCUAGUUUAUCAAUUUGAUGUCAAGUCAGCAUUUCUCAAUGGAGAAUUGCAAGAAGAGGUCUAUGUAGCACAACCAGAAGGUUUCAUAAAGAAGGGCAGUGAAACAAAGGUCUACAAGCUAAAAAAGGCAUUAUAUGGUUUGAAGCAAGCCCCUCGAGCGUGGUAUAGCAAGAUCGAUGGGUACUUUCAGAAAAAGGGAUAUAUGAGAAGUGAGAAUGAACCCACGUUGUAUGUAAAGAGUAAAGGUAAUGAUUUCAUCAUUGUUUGCCUUUACGUUGAUGAUAUCAUUUAUACUAGCUCGUCUUUUUCUCUUGUGGAUGAAUUCAAGUCUCAAAUGAAGAAUGAGUUUGAGAUGUCGGAUAUGGGUUUAUUACAUUAUUUUCUUGUAAUUGAAGUCCAUCAAGCUGAAGAUGGAAUAUUUCUGUCACAAAGGAAAUAUGCUAGGGACCUGCUCAUUAAAUUUGGUCUACUUAAUUGCAAGCCUGCAACUACACCUAUGAAUGUUGGUGAAAAAUUGCAGCUUAAUGAUAGAGCAGAGAUGGAUGAUGCUAGAAGUUUCAGAAGCCUGGUUGGAGGUUUGAUUUACCUAACUCACUCUCGUCCCGAUAUUGCAUUCUCUGUUGGUGUCGUUUCCAGGUUCAUGCAACAACCUUCAAAGGUUCAUUUUGGAGCUGCAAAAAGGGUUCUACGUUAUAUCGCUGGAACUAUGGACUAUGGGAUUUGGUACUCACAAGUUUCCAAUUUCAAAUUAUGUGGGUUCACUGAUAGUGACUAUGCUGGUUCGUUGGAUGAUAGACGAAGCAUUUCAGCUCAUGUUUUCACUCUAGGUUCAGGUGUGGUGACUUGGAGUUCAAAGAAGCAAGCUACAACAACGUUAUCAACCUCAGAAGCUGAGUACAUUGCAGCAACUUCAGCAGCUUGUCAAGCCAUCUGGCUAAGAAGGAUAUUAGCAGAACUUCAGCAUAUGCAAGCAAGUGCUACAGAGAUAUACUGUGAUAACAAAGCAUCAAUUGCCAUGACAAAGAAUCCAAGUUUUCAUAGUAGAACUAAGCACAUUGAUGUCCGCUUCCAUUUCAUUCGUGAUCUGGUAGCAAAAGAGGAAAUUGUAUUGAAGCAUUGCAGCACUCAUGAGCAAUUAGCUGAUCUACUGACCAAGUCUUUGGCAGCAAACAAGUUUAUCCAUUUGAGGGCUUUGAUUGGUGUCUGUAACUUUGAAUCAAGGGGGAGUAUUGAAGACUGAUUUAAAGUCUGACUUGGUCAAGUUAAUUUGUUAGUAGUUUCCUAUUUUCUUGGGCUGUUAGCAGUCAUGUUGCAGCAGUUCUCUUUUUUCUAAUUUAGUGGUAGAUGUUGCUUAGUUAGUGGAGUAGUGGUUAACUUAGUGUUUGCUUAUGUUUAAGUCUAUAUAAUGUUGUAUCUUCCUUUGAUGAAUAACAGAUAAGUCAAGUUACAGCAAACUAUUUGAUCCUCUUAUUUUUAGCCUCUGCCUUUAAGUUGUUUACAGCCCUUUUCUCCAACAGUUGUGCAGGGUAUAGUUGUAUAAAUAUUGUAAUGAAUCACUAUUAUACCUUGUUUGAAUGGUCGUUACCCGUUGUAUUGCAUUGUAUUGUUAGUUUGAAUAUCAUUUUUGUUUUGACUAUUAUUUAAAUUUUAUUGUAUCGUAUUGUUUAAAUCCAUGAUUAGGUAACGACUAAAAGUCUCAUUUAAUGUAACGAUCGGUUUAGCUUGAUCGCAUUUUUUUCCUUCUCAUUUUGUCUUUUACUUAUUAUUUAAUAAUCCUAUUUUAUUCUUUAUCCUACAUUUCUAUAGUAGUUCUACCCCUCCCUUAUUUUUUGUAUAGGUUUAUCAUUCAAAUUGUUGCUGUAUGACAUUAUGUAACGGCAUAGAACAAUGCAAUCUAUCCACAAUACGAUACAACACAAUACAAUAGAUACAUUACGAAACAACACGUAACAACCAUUCAAACAAAGUUUUAUAUGUGUUGGUUAGUCAAUAGCAUUUAUUUCUCACCUUGUGAAUUACGUGUAGGAACGACUUCAAGUCAAUGGUCUCACUAUCCAUGAAAGUAAAUACCAAAGAAAAACAAAUGUUUGUGGAAACAUUUUAAUUGGCCAGGUUUUAAAGUUGUGGAAAUAUUGGGAGAUUUUCUAUCAUUUUUUUGGAAAUUUUGCAAGUCUUUGGCAUUGACUAACAUGUGUGUCUUGAGUUGUAUCAUCUUCAUGGGCCAUAUUGGGUGGAAUUAUUGCAAGUUCCGUUCACAUAAGCUGUACAUCUGCUUCCUUGGAAAAUUUGAACGGCUUAAUUAAGUUGGAACUGCAGAGGUCUCUGUUCAAGGGACAGUUUGAGAAAUGAAGAGUUGUCCAACGUUUUUCUUUUGCAUCUACAAUUAGCAUAAUACAUAAAUAUGUCCGUUAACUUGGUUUUAGCCGACAUAGACCCUCUAAUUUUAGGUAUGCAAGAAUAAAUGCUUAAAUUUGUAUAAAGUUGAACAAGUAGAUACAGAUCAAUGUAGGACCAAAUUGUCAAGCUAAACACAUGUUUCUACUUGUUCAACUCUUUACAAGUUUAAGGUCAACUUGUGCACACCAAAGUUGGAGUUGCGAAAGUGGGAUUGCUUGCUUGAGGAUUUCAUUGCCGAUUUGGUGCUCGUUUUUGGAAUCUUAAUUGAAGGCAUUAGCUUUCUAUAGUUAUAAUUGUCAAUUAGUUCCUUUCGUGUGUCUAUCUUCUAUCUCGUUUUUCUUAUUUCUUAGAAUUAGGGUUUACGUCGCUAUCGAUAUUGCAUCAAUGGCUGCUAGUUCUAUAAUAACAAGGUAAAUGAAAUAGCAACAGUUUAUCCAUAUUUCUGCCUGUAUUGUGCUUUUUCUUCUUGUGAAGAUAUGUCACUUAGGCCUAACUCAACCUCAAAAGCUAGCUCAUGAGGGAAGGUUUGUCCAAGUCCCAUAUAAGGAGACCAAAUUCCCAUCCCUCUACCGAUGUGGGACUUCUUAACACUCCCCGCACGCCCAGACCUUGACUGGAGCAUGAAUUCUUCUAAAUGGGGGCCCAACAUCGGUGAACAAUAAAUUGAGAUGGACCUGACUCUGAUACCAUGUGAAGAUAUGGCACCUGGGCCUAACUCAAUCUCAAAAACUAGCUCAUGAGGGCAGAUUUGUCCAAGUUCAUAUAAGGGGACCAAAUUUCCAUCCUUCUACCGAUGUGGGACUUCUUAACACUUCUCAUCAUGUGUUGUUUAACACACUCAAUAGCUUCGACACUCUGCCUGUCAUUUUUUGUUUCUGCUUCUUCAUAUGCUAAACAAUUCAUAAAUUCAUAAAAUAAUUCAUAAAUCACGAGCCUUAUUACCCUAUUGAACUUCCUACGCUUAAGGACUUUAACUGGCUGCAGAAAAUAGGGAUCAGCAAUAUCUAACAGUGAAAUGUGGUUAGAUCAACUUCAAAAAGAUGUUGUUAUUCGACUGUUAUCUAUGCGAUGCUGCUUUUAUGGCGAGUUCUUAAACUCAGGGAAUGCAGCUUUGCUUUGGUGCUUAGUGGGGUGAACCAGAGUGUCCAAUCAAUUGGCCAAGCGAAGAAACAAUCUUCAACUCUUUAACUGAGAUUGAUGUUUGUCUUCACAACGUAGCUUAACUUGGCAACGACGGAGGUGCAAAUGGAUGUGAUAUCUAUAUGAUGGACGCAAAUUAUUAGAAAGUUGGAUUGCUUAUCUAAAUGAAGGGAUACAAAUAAGAGGAUUCAUAUAGCCGACCUCAACUAACUUGAGAUUAAGGUAUAGUAAAUUUUACUGUUGAUAUAGUGAAUCAACACUUUGUAUCCCUAUAUCUUGCUUAAAUGUUCUGAUUACCCUACUCAACAAAAAUUAGUACAAUUAUCUUUUGUUGGUUAGAUACAUUCAUGUUCUUGAGGAAUGCUAAAAAUUCUAAAUGUCAUUGGGUUUGGGUUUCAGUGUAUUAUAGACAUACAUAUAUUAGCAGAACACUACUUGCACAUACGAAAAAAACAAUGAUGGGAUGAAUUUAGUCUCUUUCCUAAAGUACUGCAAUUUGUGAAUUCUUGAAAUCCACUCGAGACGAAAACAACAGAACAACAAAGUGCUUGAUUCUCUAAUAACUUAAGCAAAUAUUUCUAGUUGCUUACAACUAGAACAUCUGUUUGAAAAGAGGAAGCUAUGCAUACAAUGUUCAAUGAUAUGUUAGUUACGUUUGAUCCAUAAUCCUCUCUAUUUUCAUCCAGUGUGUUUCAAAUUAUAGAAGCAUUCACAGUUGAAGAUUUUUCACGAGUUGAAAUAAAAUCAGUAGUACUUAACGAACAUGGAACUUGCUUUUAUUACUUAACAUCAGUAUAUUACUGUAAUUUGUAUAUAUUCUAGUACAAAGGCUCUGAAACCUUCAAAUUGAAAUAAGUAAUCUAUAUAAGCAACUCAACAAUACAGAAAGGCUAAUCUUAAUAAUAUUUUGCUGUGAAAGUUCUGAUCAACAUACUUGUUACUUCACAACCACUUGGUGCUGAGCAUAAUCUUUUCCAUACCAGGGCACCUUACAUUUCGAGGAAUCUCACUUUCAUGGAAUCUGAUGAUUGGGUGGAUCCAUUGAUAACAUAUGAGAGAUGAAGUGCAUCGUUGGCCUUGAUUUUGGAUUUUCAAGCAAACACGAGAUUGCUAGCUUGACGAUGAAAACCAAAAACUCUUUUACUUCAUCCUCAGGAUGUGGAAGGCGUUCAUCUAGCAAAUCACUUAGCUGCACAUCUCUUGUUGAUGGAUUUGCUAGAAGAGUAAGGUAUUCCCCAAGAUGCUUUCCUUUGAUUACCUCCAAUGCUAAUACUCCAAAGCUGUAGACGUCACACAUUUCCGUCACCUUCAAUGUAUAGGCAAGCUCUGAAACAAUAAAGUUGCAAAUGAGAUAGAAACAAUAUAGAGUGUGCAGAUAUAGUUCAUGAACUAAAAUAAGGAUAAGAAGUUAGAUCUUACCUGGUGCUACAUAGCCAUAUGUGCCUGCAAGUGCAGUACAAUUGGAUGAGUCUGGCUUGAGAAUCUUAGCUAUGCCAAAAUCAGAAACACGAGCUUCAAACUCGGAGUCAAGCAAAACAUUACUGCUUGAUAUGUCCCGAUGAACAAUCGGGGGUGAGCAAUCGUGGUGCAUGUAGGAUAAAGCAUAAGCAAUACCUUUGAUGAUAUUCACCCUUGUAAGCCAAUCCAAUUUCUUAGACUCUACUUCGUUGCUCAAAAUACUAGACAAACUCCCCCUCUCCACAUACUCGUAAACCAAGAACGAGUGUUGUGCAUUCGAACAAAAGCCAUAGAGUCUCACAAUGUUCCGAUGCUUAAUCCCUGUCAAUGCCCUUACCUCAUUCAUGAAGCUCUUGCGAUGCUUAAUCUCAAAUGAAGAAUGAAGUCGCUUCACAGCUACAUUUCCCAAUGAUGGAAGAUUUACCUUGUAAACACUUCCGAACCCUCCUUUCCCAAUGCAAAAUGUUGCAUCAAACUCCUCUGUGGCUUUUAAGAUAUCCCAGUAUAAUGAAUUUCCAUGUAAUGAGGAUAUUGAAAGCAGACCAUCAUCUUUGUCUAUGGAAUCCCGUCUUUCAAUGUCUCCAACUCUUCUUCUUUGGUCACGCAUAAAGAGAGCACCAGCGAAAGCACAAAGAAGCACUAAUGCUCCCAGAAUAGGAAGUACAGUGAUGAGGAUGAGUUUAAGUCCCUUCGCCAUUGAGUGCUUCUUCACCAUAGAAGAUGGUAUGUUGCAUGGCACGAAACCUGUUACAUUGCCACAAAGAGCUUUAUUACCUUGCAAUGAGGCAUUUGUGAAAGCUUUAUUAUUAGGUAUUGGACCUUCCAACUCAUUGUAUGACAAGACAACAUCCUGCAAACCAGUCAAACUUUCAAAUUCUUCAGGAAUGUGGCCAGAAAGGCCGUUGUGGGAAAUAUUUAAGCUUUCCAAGACCUUCAAAUUGGUUAACUGAGGGGGUAUUUCUCCAACCAGAACAUUAUGGCUCAAAUCAAGUACAUUAAGUUGAGUUAUACCCCCUAUCUCCUUCGGAAUAUUUUGGCCAAAUUUGUUGUUGCUCAGGUUCAAGUGAAACAGGUGAUGGUAAUCUCCUAUAAACGUUGGGAUCGAACCAUUCAAUCUAUUGUCUGAAAGAUCAAGGUAAUCUAACUUUGUCAAUGACCCAAGUUCCAUAGGAAUAUUGCCAGAAAUUUGGUUGUUUUGCAAAAGAAGAUUAACCAGAGAGGUCAAUUUUCCAAAUUCCCUAGGAAUCUUCCCAACCAAAUGAUUGGAUGAAAGAUCUAGUCCUUGAAGCCCUUUGAGGUUUCCAAUCUCUGGUGGUAUGCGACCACCAAUUCUAUUUCUGGCUAUCCGAAGAUCAGUCAAAUUCUUGCAUUUCCCCCAGUUGCUGCUUAGUUCGCCAUGAAAAUCAUUUUCGCUCAAAUUAAUGAACUGCAGCUCCGGAUAGAUACCAAAAGCUUCAGAUAAAUUCCCAGUAAAACUGUUGUUAUCAAAGCGAACCCUUUCGAAACUUGAGCAGUUGCUCAAGCUU